RNAcentral lists this small RNA (669 nucleotides) under Drosophila pseudoobscura pseudoobscura. Its description in RNAcentral is "GA31238". Lineage: Eukaryota; Metazoa; Arthropoda; Insecta; Diptera; Drosophilidae. The record is from RNAcentral.
UAUCCUGCGCGGAACGCACUGAUUUUGCCCCUGCAGCCGGGCGGGAUGUCUGCAAUUCCGGAUUUCAUACACAGCGGAGUACGGAUUUAUAGCCGGAAAACUUGGAGCUCAUGGUCCGGACGCAAACGCAUUCGUAAAUCGUUUAAACUCUGAUAAUCGCUCAGAUUUGUUUAUGGGUCACGCUUAAGAUAAAUGUGCGGCACGGUAUUUGUCGAUAUAUAUAUAUUCAAAUAUAUAUGUUAGCCCCGGUGACAGACGACCUUCAGUAGCUGGAAUGAGCUGAAAGCUUUGAGGUGAUGGUAGAAAUCAAUGGAACUCUAACUAAUCCCCGAAAUUUGCCAGAAGAAGUCCCUUCUACAAGCAAGUAAGCGAUAUGAAAUUAUCAAUGGUGUGCGUUGGGUGGCCCAAUAAGUGCGGUAAGCGGAGAGUGACACUUUCCAGCAAGCAAAUCACAGACAUUAGCCGUCACCUGGGGGAAAACGAGAAUCUGGGCUCAUCAUUGCACCCGUGUGGCCAGGGUUCGCCUUUCUGGGGCAGACAAUGGGGACACAGCCAGAAGCCAACAGAUUUUCUGAUGUAUGCAAAUUGUGCUGCAAGCUCGCAUUUUAAAUCGGGACUGUAUUCCGCUUGUACAUGCAUACUUAUAUAUAUAUAUAUCGUAUGUGCAUA